GAUGAACGCUGGCGGCGUGCCUAAUACAUGCAAGUCGAGCGAACAGACCAGGAGCUUGCUGCUCUGACGUUUGCGGCGGCCGGGUGAGUAACACGUGGAUACCCCACCUAUAAGACUGGGAUAAAUUCGGGAAACGGGAGCUAAUCCGGGAUAAUAUAUUGACACGCAUGGUUCUAUAGUGAAAGUCGGUUUUGCUGUUAAUUAUGGAUGGUUCCGCGCCGCAUUGGCUAGUUGGUAAGGUAACGGCUUACCAAGGCAAGGAGGCGUAGCCGAGCUGAGAGAGGGAUCGCCCACACUAGAAUGGAGACACGGGCCACACUCCUACGGGAGGCAGCAGUAUAGAAUCUUACGCAAUGGACGGAAGCCUGACAGAGCAGCGCCGCGUAAGUAAUGAAGCUGUUCUGUUCGUAAAACACUGUUAGUAGAGAAGAACAAAUGUGUAAGUAACUAUGCACGUAAUGACGGUACCUGAUCAGAAAGCCACGGCUAACUACGUG
Molecule: ribosomal RNA, 497 nt
Filed under: uncultured bacterium
Lineage: Bacteria
Description: partial 16S ribosomal RNA
Rfam family: Bacterial small subunit ribosomal RNA
Source: RNAcentral